This is a long non-coding RNA of Trifolium pratense (red clover), 1611 nucleotides long. RefSeq lists it as uncharacterized. Lineage: Eukaryota; Viridiplantae; Streptophyta; Magnoliopsida; Fabales; Fabaceae. The record is from RefSeq and is a predicted model, not a curated record. The transcript is spliced from 2 exons.
UCUCUUUCUUUCUCUAACUGAUUAACACGUUUUGUGUAGUUACUUAGAACUUGCUAGAAAUUAAUUAGUUAGAUACGUUGGUCUUUGAUUUGAAUCUGUUAUCUCUGUUACAACCGUUAUUGGAUUGUUAAGUACGCGAUCUGCAUCGUGAUCUGAUCGUAGUAGACAAGGGUCGAUCGCUGGGUUUCACUUGAUCAAAUUCUGUUGAAUAAUACUUGAAUAUGUUGGAGAUUAUUAUAGUGUAUUUUGGCAAUUUAAUUUAAAAAGAAAAAGAAAAAGUGGAAGUAUAAGUAUUUUUUUGUUGUCAAGUAAGUCGGUGGCUAGAAUUUCAUGAACAAGUGGUGUGUCGGGUUUCGAACUUCGGCUCUGCAUAUAAAACACGACGUCUCUAUCAAUCGAACUAAGUUUACUGGACAGAAAUAUAAAUAUCUAAUAGGCAGAUUAUCUGGUUUUUAGUAUGAUUAAAGAAAAUCAUGUCAAUUAUAUUUCAUAAAGUGAACAUAUAUGGUGUAACUUUAGCAAAAAUUUUAAGGAAAUUUUAACGGCACUCUUUGAGUAUCUUAAACAGUAAGUCUUUGUAAAAUUUUUAUGGAAAUGUGUAACACAUCAGUAAUUAAAAUGUUUCACUUUUUGAAUAAAUAAUUUCUUUAAAUAGAAUGCUUAAAGAGUGUCUCGGGACACUUGUUAGCAAACCCAAAUUUUAAUAAGUAAAAUACCUAAUAAUAGUAAUACUAAUUUCAAAAUGUUAUGCUUUAAUUCUUGGGAAUGUAUUGUUAUUUGUGUCCUAGAAUCGAUGAUUUUUAUCAUAAAAAUAAAAGAAUUGAUGAUUUUCAUUUUGAGUAAAAAUGUUGAGAAACUCAUUUUAUUCUACACCUGCCACACCACCUACCAAUCACAUUAAAAAACGUGAUUAAUUCAGUUCACUAGAUGAUUAAUUCAAUUCAUUGUCAAAAUUAUGGUUAAUUCAACUAGAUGAUUAACUACAAUUUCACAAUUUUGAACUUUGUAUAAAUUAAUUAUUUGCUCAAUCAAAUUAACCACAAUUUUACAUGUGAUUAGCUAGAUGUCGCAGUAUAGAGAAAAUUGGAUGUCAAACAUUUUUUGUUUAAUUUUUAUGUUGUGAUUGUGGCCUUGUUGUGAUUUCUGUUACUGCAAUUGCCAGCAUUGCAGUGCAGGAUGUCAUUGAUUUCUGCAGUGUUUUAUUUUUUUUAAGUUUGCAAAGGUGAAUUUUUUAUAUUUUAAAUUAAAGAUGUAAUUAACGGAAUGAAAUUGAGGCCACAACGCAUCCGUUCCCUUCAUGCUUUAUUUAUUUGUUUUUUAAUAGAUGAUGCAGUGCAGCACUGAAAAUCUCAAAGGAAUUAAAAAAUAUAUAGUCCCAUUAGAUUUAAAUUUGCAUAGAAGCUAUUGUCUAUGUUAUGAUAAAAUAUUGUGCAGACAGAUAAACUUUACAGGAAUUGAAUUUAAUGCCAUAUGAUAAAAUAUUCAUAUGAAGCUGUUGUUGACCUUCAAUUAUGCCAGUGAACCCCUGCAUUUUGUUUUCCUGUCUGACUUUUAUUCUACAUUCUCAAUCUGCAUUUUUUUGUGACAUGAACAAUAAUAGUAUAGGAAAAA